GCUCAACUGACACGAGCCUUGGGUCUUGUGCUGAGAGGAAACCUCUUCCAUUGGGAAACCCACCUUGGGCAACGACACUUGUCUCUCUGUGGUCCAACUGCCAUCCAGACACACUUUCUCCGUUGGGUUUAGAAGACCAAGGGCGAUGCCUGCUUCCCAAAAGGGCAGCAUGUGGUCCAGACCGAUCCUCCUGGGUCUCCUCUUCCUCUGGGCUGGGCUUCCUUCUGCUCUCAAUGGCCAGAAAGCGGGGAAAGAAGGCUUCUGUCCUAACAAAACCCCUCCGGGAGUGGUCGAUCCUUGCUUCAUUCCCUGUUCAAGUGACAGCAAUUGCCGUGGCCUGAAGAAGUGCUGCAGAAUUGGGUGUGGGUACGCUUGCGUGGACCCACUGCCCGUGAAAGACGGGGUGUGUCCUCUCAAAAUUGGUUCCUGGGACCCCAAGAAAUGCCGCACGAAAUGCACAAGGGACAAGCAAUGCCCAGGGAAGCAGAAGUGCUGCCCGGUCGGAUGCGGAAGGGAGUGCUUGGAGGCAGAGCCAGAGAAAUAUGGCGUGUGCCGCAGCGGCGGUCCCGACGGGUUCCUCAAUCCCUGCUUCAUCCACUGUUCGAGAGACAACGAAUGCCCCGAAAAGAAGAAGUGCUGCAGGAAGAAAUGCGGAUUGGCCUGCCUUGAACCAACGCCCAGAGUCCAGCCUUUCAAUUCAACAAACCUUGACUCCUGAUCUGCUCCAGGGCCCUAAGCUACAGAGGAAACCUCCAAGAUGAAGACCACAUCUCAGCCGCCCUCCACCACCACUGCAUCCCUCCAGCUUCCUCCUUCCCAGCUUGCUUUACAAACCCAGCAGGGCCACACACAUUGAGGGCACCCUAUAAACCAUCCGUUGCCACUUC
This is a long non-coding RNA of Anolis carolinensis (green anole), 887 nucleotides long. RefSeq annotates it as WAP four-disulfide core domain protein 3. NCBI's taxonomy places the organism in Eukaryota, Metazoa, Chordata, Lepidosauria, Squamata, Anolidae. The transcript has 6 exons. The record is from RefSeq and is a predicted model, not a curated record.